This 301-nucleotide ribosomal RNA is filed under the name uncultured bacterium. RNAcentral describes it as "partial 16S ribosomal RNA". It matches the Rfam family "Bacterial small subunit ribosomal RNA", at positions 509 to 809 of the family's 1533-position model. The record is from RNAcentral.
CAGCCGCCACGGUAAUACGGAGGGAGCUAGCGUUAUUCGGAAUUACUGGGCGUAAAGCGCACGUAGGCGGCUUUGUAAGUUAGAGGUGAAAGCCUGGAGCUCAACUCCAGAAUUGCCUUUAAGACUGCAUCGCUUGAAUCCAGGAGAGGUGAGUGGAAUUCCGAGUGUAGAGGUGAAAUUCGUAGAUAUUCGGAAGAACACCAGUGGCGUAGGCGGCUCACUGGACUGGUAUUGACGCUGAGGUGCGAAAGCGUGGGGAGCAAACAGGAUUAGAUACCCCUGUAGUCCCUGUCUCUUAUAA